GACGUGAGGGUGAUCUGGCGGCAACACUUGUCACCCCACUGAUGGCUAGUAUUCACUCAGCUGAUCUGGCUGGCCAGGUGGGGUUCCCUUCCUCCCCCACGGGGACAUGCACAUCCCUCCCAAAGCUGAACUCUCUGUCCAAGAAGACAACCUUUUCUGACAGAGGAGGACCGACUUUGGUCAAGGGGAUAGGAGUAGCUGCUGUCUCCAGCAGAGCCUUGAAACAAACUCUCGAGGUCCAUUUGUAGGAGAAGGCGGGGUACUCUAGCUUCCAACACCCCAGACACCCAUAAAGCACUGCAUGUGUCAGUCUACCUUUCUUU
RNAcentral lists this small nuclear RNA (323 nucleotides) under Ailuropoda melanoleuca (giant panda). Its description in RNAcentral is "7SK RNA". It matches the Rfam family "7SK RNA". Rfam says of the family: 7SK was discovered as an abundant small nuclear RNA in the mid-70s but a possible function has only recently been suggested. Two independent studies have found that 7SK RNA binds the CDK9/cyclin T complex (known as elongation factor P-TEFb). Lineage: Eukaryota; Metazoa; Chordata; Mammalia; Carnivora; Ursidae. The record is from Rfam by way of RNAcentral.